AUUGAACGCUGGCGGCAGGCCUAACACAUGCAAGUCGAGCGGUAGCACAGAGAGCUUGCUCUCGGGUGACGAGCGGCGGACGGGUGAGUAAUGUCUGGGAAACUGCCUGAUGGAGGGGGAUAACUACUGGAAACGGUAGCUAAUACUGCAUAACGUCGCAAGACCAAAGAGGGGGACCUUCGGGCCUCUUGCCAUCAGAUGUGCCCAGAUGGGAUUAGCUAGUAGGUGGGGUAACGGCUCACCUAGGCGACGAUCCCUAGCUGGUCUGAGAGGAUGACCAGCCACACUGGAACUGAGACACGGGCCAGACUCCCACGGGAGGCAGCAGUGGGGAAUAUUGCACAAUGGGCGCAAGCCUGAUGCAGCCAUGCCGCGUGUAUGAAGAAGGCCUUCGGGUUGUAAAGUACUUUCAGCGGGGAGGAAGGCGAUAAGGUUAAUAACCUCGUCGAUUGACGUUACCCGCAGAAGAAGCACCGGCUAACUCCGUGCCAGCCGCCGCAGUAA
RNAcentral lists this ribosomal RNA (504 nucleotides) under uncultured bacterium. RNAcentral's name for it is "partial 16S ribosomal RNA". It matches the Rfam family "Bacterial small subunit ribosomal RNA", at positions 30 to 523 of the family's 1533-position model. The record is from RNAcentral.